CCUACGGGGGGCAGCAGUAGGGAAUAUUGCUCAAUGGGGGAAACCUUGAAGCAGCAACGCCGCGUGGAGGAUGAAGGUUUUCGGAUUGUAAACUCCUUUUGUUAGAGAAGAUAAUGACGGUAUCUAACGAAUAAGCACCGGCUAACUCCGUGCCAGCAGCCGCCGUAAUACGGAGGGUGCAAGCGUUACUCGGAAUCACUGGGCGUAAAGAGCUCGUAGGCGGGAUAGCAAGUCAGAUGUGAAAUCCUAUGGCUUAACCAUAGAACUGCAUUUGAAACUGGUAUUCUAGAGUAUGGGAGAGGUAGGUGGAAUUCUUGGUGUAGGGGUAAAAUGCGUAGAGAUCAAGAGGAAUACUCAUUGCGAAGGCGACCUGCUAGAACAUAACUGACGCUGAUGCGCGAAAGCGUGGGGAGCAAACAGGAUUAGAUACCCCAGUAGUC
RNAcentral lists this ribosomal RNA (440 nucleotides) under uncultured bacterium. RNAcentral describes it as "partial 16S ribosomal RNA". It matches the Rfam family "Bacterial small subunit ribosomal RNA", at positions 338 to 795 of the family's 1533-position model. The record is from RNAcentral.